RNAcentral lists this ribosomal RNA (492 nucleotides) under uncultured bacterium. Its description in RNAcentral is "partial 16S ribosomal RNA". It matches the Rfam family "Bacterial small subunit ribosomal RNA", at positions 29 to 507 of the family's 1533-position model. The record is from RNAcentral.
AGUGAACGCUGGCGGUAGGCCUAACACAUGCAAGUCGAACGGCAGCACAGUAAGAGCUUGCUCUUACGGGUGGCGAGUGGCGGACGGGUGAGGGAUACAUCGGAAUCUACUUUUUCGUGGGGGAUAACGUAGGGAAACUUACGCUAAUACCGCAUACGACCUACGGGCGAAAGCAGGGGAUCUUCGGACCUUGCGCGAUUGAAUGAGCCGAUGUCGGAUUAGCUAGUUGGCGGGGUAAAGGCCCACCAAGCCGACGAUCCGUAGCUGGUCUGAGAGGAUGAUCAGCCACACUGGAACUGAGACACGGUCCAGACUCCUACGGGAGGCAGCAGUGGGGAAUAUUGGACAAUGGGCGCAAGCCUGAUCCAGCCAUACCGCGUGGGUGAAGAAGGCCUUCGGGUUGUAAAGCCCUUUUGUCGGGAAAGAAAAGCAGCAGGUUAAUACCCCGCUGUUCUGACGGUACCCAAAGAAUAAGCACCGGCUAACUUCGUG